GAUGAACGCUGGCGGCGUGCCUAAUACAUGCAAGUCGAGCGAACAGAUAAGGAGCUUGCUCCUUUGACGUUAGCGGCGGAAGGGUGAGUAACACGUGGGUAACCUACCUAUAAGACUGGGAUAACUUCGGGAAACCGGAGCUAAUACCGGAUAACAUUUGGAACCGCAUGGUUCUAAAGUGAAAGAUGGUUUUGCUAUCACUUAUAGAUGGACCCGCGCCGUAUUAGCUAGUUGGUAAGGUAACGGCUUACCAAGGCGACGAUACGUAGCCGACCUGAGAGGGUGAUCGGCCACACUGGAACUGAGACACGGUCCAGACUCCUACGGGAGGCAGCAGUAGGGAAUCUUCCGCAAUGGGCGAAAGCCUGACGGAGCAACGCCGCGUGAGUGAUGAAGGGUUUCGGCUCGUAAAACUCUGUUAUUAGGGAAGAACAAAUGUGUAAGUAACUGUGCACGUCUUGACGGUACCUAAUCAGAAAGCCACGGCUAACUACGUG
This 497-nucleotide ribosomal RNA is filed under the name uncultured bacterium. RNAcentral's name for it is "partial 16S ribosomal RNA". It matches the Rfam family "Bacterial small subunit ribosomal RNA", at positions 28 to 507 of the family's 1533-position model. The record is from RNAcentral.